Molecule: long non-coding RNA, 387 nt
Organism: Metopolophium dirhodum (rose-grain aphid)
Lineage: Eukaryota; Metazoa; Arthropoda; Insecta; Hemiptera; Aphididae
Exons: 3
Source: RefSeq, a predicted model, not a curated record
UUAAAUCGACCAGUUAAUCACUGUACUAACUAUUAUCUCUUAUCACUUUACAUAGUAUUCAUUUGAGAUAUCGUGUACAAUCUGUCACAGCAUUUUUCUUUAUUUUACUUUUAUUUAUUCGUUAUUCACGAUGAGUGGGGACUAAACAAUGAAACAACAUGGAAAGGGGACUGGAGGCAUCCAAGUGUCAUCAGCAUUGGACCCAUAUAGAGAUCUUAAUUCGGGCUUGAUGUCAUCGGUCAAGAUGUAGUCAGGAGAGGUGGUAAACUUACACCGGUGACGUCGGAGACGUAACUGAACAUCGCGUUGAACAUAACCAUCCGGCCACCGGCCAGUGACGUGGGCAACGCCUCGACAACGCCGACCACCUCCAUGCGGAGCUCGUCG